RNAcentral lists this transfer RNA (72 nucleotides) under Camelus bactrianus (Bactrian camel). It matches the Rfam family "tRNA". From Rfam's summary of the family: Transfer RNA (tRNA) molecules are approximately 80 nucleotides in length. Their secondary structure includes four short double-helical elements and three loops (D, anti-codon, and T loops). The record is from Rfam by way of RNAcentral. RNAcentral also lists the same sequence under 2 other names. Lineage: Eukaryota; Metazoa; Chordata; Mammalia; Artiodactyla; Camelidae.
GAGGGUAUAGCUCAGUGGUGGAGUGCAUGCCUAGCAUGCACGACGUCCUGGGUUCAAUUCCCAGUACCUCCU